RNAcentral lists this ribosomal RNA (758 nucleotides) under uncultured Porphyromonas sp. RNAcentral describes it as "bacterial SSU rRNA". It matches the Rfam family "Bacterial small subunit ribosomal RNA", at positions 28 to 775 of the family's 1533-position model. Lineage: Bacteria; Pseudomonadati; Bacteroidota; Bacteroidia; Bacteroidales; Porphyromonadaceae. The record is from RNAcentral.
GAUGAACGCUAGCGAUAGGCUUAACACAUGCAAGUCGAGGGGCAGCAUGGUCUUAGCUUGCUAAGACUGAUGGCGACCGGCGCACGGGUGCGUAACGCGUAUGCAACUUGCCUCACAGAGGGGGAUAACCCGUCGAAAGACGGACUAAUACCGCGUACGCUCCAGCUUGGGCAUCCAGGCUAGAGGAAAUGAACUUCGCUGUGAGAUAGGCAUGCGUCCCAUUAGCUAGUUGGUGAGGUAACGGCUCACCAAGGCGACGAUGGGUAGGGGAACUGAGAGGUUGAACCCCCACACUGGUACUGAGACACGGACCAGACUCCUACGGGAGGCAGCAGUGAGGAAUAUUGGUCAAUGGGCGAGAGCCUGAACCAGCCAAGUCGCGUGAAGGAUGACUGUCUUAUGGAUUGUAAACUUCUUUUGUAGGGGAAUAAAGAACGGCACGUGUGCCGUAGUGAAUGUACCCUACGAAUAAGCAUCGGCUAACUCCGUGCCAGCAGCCGCGGUAAUACGGAGGAUGCGAGCGUUAUCCGGAUUUAUUGGGUUUAAAGGGUGCGUAGGCGGCCUGUUAAGUCAGCGGUGAAAUCUAGGAGCUUAACUCCUAAAUUGCCAUUGAUACUGGCGGGCUUGAGCGUAGAUGAGGUAGGCGGAAUGCGUGGUGUAGCGGUGGAAUGCAUAGAUAUCACGCAGAACUCCGAUUGCGAAGGCAGCUUACUAAGGUACAACUGACGCUGAAGCACGAAAGCGUGGGUAUCAACAGG